RNAcentral lists this ribosomal RNA (246 nucleotides) under uncultured bacterium. RNAcentral's name for it is "partial 16S ribosomal RNA". It matches the Rfam family "Bacterial small subunit ribosomal RNA", at positions 524 to 769 of the family's 1533-position model. The record is from RNAcentral.
UACGAAGGGUGCAAGCGUUACUCGGAAUUACUGGGCGUAAAGCGUGCGUAGGUGGUUUGUUAAGUCUGAUGUGAAAGCCCUGGGCUCAACCUGGGAAUUGCAUUGGAUACUGGCAGGCUAGAGUGCGGUAGAGGGUAGUGGAAUUCCCGGUGUAGCAGUGAAAUGCGUAGAGAUCGGGAGGAACAUCUGUGGCGAAGGCGACUACCUGGACCAGCACUGACACUGAGGCACGAAAGCGUGGGGGAG